This 465-nucleotide ribosomal RNA is filed under the name Vreelandella stevensii. RNAcentral's name for it is "partial 16S ribosomal RNA". It matches the Rfam family "Bacterial small subunit ribosomal RNA", at positions 338 to 795 of the family's 1533-position model. Lineage: Bacteria; Pseudomonadati; Pseudomonadota; Gammaproteobacteria; Oceanospirillales; Halomonadaceae. The record is from RNAcentral.
CCUACGGGUGGCAGCAGUGGGGAAUAUUGGACAAUGGGCGAAAGCCUGAUCCAGCCAUGCCGCGUGUGUGAAGAAGGCCUUCGGGUUGUAAAGCACUUUCAGUGGGGAAGAAAGCCUUGGGGCUAAUACCCUCGAGGAAGGACAUCACCCACAGAAGAAGCACCGGCUAACUCCGUGCCAGCAGCCGCGGUAAUACGGAGGGUGCGAGCGUUAAUCGGAAUUACUGGGCGUAAAGCGCGCGUAGGCGGUCUGAUAAGCCGGUUGUGAAAGCCCCGGGCUCAACCUGGGAACGGCAUCCGGUACUGUCAGGCUAGAGUGCAGGAGAGGAAGGUAGAAUUCCCGGUGUAGCGGUGAAAUGCGUAGAGAUCGGGAGGAAUACCAGUGGCGAAGGCGGCCCUCUGGACUGACACUGACGCUGAGGUGCGAAAGCGUGGGUAGCAAACAGGAUUAGAUACCCUAGUAGUC